CAAUUAUAUGCAUCAUUUUCUUUGCAAUGUUUCUUCUUCUCUUCCUCUUUAACCACAGCUCGAGAAUUAAACACAGACAACUGCAGGUGAAGUAAGAAGUGAUGGCAUAAUCCCAGAUGGGUACAAGCCUCGACCAAAGAAAGGGUAUCCAUACAAACCUUAUCCAAAGAAAGGGUAUCCAUACAAACCUUAUCCACGGAAGAAAAAGCCACCACCCAAGAAGAAGAAGCCACCGACGUAAAAGCCUUGUUAUCAAUACAAGUCCCA
Non-coding RNA from Jatropha curcas, 267 nucleotides. The record is from RefSeq and is a predicted model, not a curated record. Lineage: Eukaryota; Viridiplantae; Streptophyta; Magnoliopsida; Malpighiales; Euphorbiaceae.